UGACUAAUCUCUCCUAAGAUCCCUCCUCUCCUGAGACGGUCACUGAGCAGGCCCGGGAGAACAAGGCCGGAGUUGUGACUUAUGAACACAGCACAUCCCACAGGGCUACAGGUGGAUGUCGGGGUUCCAGCUACCUCCCUGGAGGCUUGUCUUUUUCACUCAUGGUAAUUGGAUUUAAUUCAAUCUUUGAUGGCUGAGGCUCAUCAGUAGAGUCCCUAGGGCUCCAGGAGACAAUUGCUGAGAUGGAGUGAAAUGCCAAUGUGUUCUCAAGGGAAAUAGAUGGAACUCUUCAUCUCCUACCAUCUGCCAGGGACGAAUUGGAAGUAAAGAGAUACAAAAGUUGAGCGAGGAGGGUAUUUCAAGGAGUCCAUGAUCAGCACCCUCCACUGUCUGAUUGUCUGAUGCCCUAGAAGUACUAAGAAGCAAAAGAAAGAUCAUCAAAAUAAAUGGAUAUUUAAACUCUCCCUAUGGUACUACUGUGUUUUUGAGAAGCAUUUUAGUCUCUGAGAGGCAUUCUGAAUCAAUACAAUCACUUCCACACUUUGAUCACUGUCACCCCUUAUUCUUAGCAUUGUAAAUUGAAAUGUUGCACUCAGGCAUACGUCCCUGACAGAAUUUAUUCUUCUUUGCAAUUCUGAUAGUUCCUGGUAUGGAACCCAGUGUGGCCAAGGAAUGUUAAACUGUCUCAUCUUUCACUUGAUCAUC
Acinonyx jubatus (cheetah) is the source of this 705-nucleotide long non-coding RNA. RefSeq lists it as uncharacterized. The record is from RefSeq and is a predicted model, not a curated record. The transcript has 3 exons. NCBI's taxonomy places the organism in Eukaryota, Metazoa, Chordata, Mammalia, Carnivora, Felidae.